AGACGGACAUUGGAUAAAUUCUACCCGGUGAGGUACCUUUUGCAACCACACCGGACGAGAUUUCAUCCGACAACAG
Molecule: microRNA precursor, 76 nt
Filed under: Melipona quadrifasciata
Lineage: Eukaryota; Metazoa; Arthropoda; Insecta; Hymenoptera; Apidae
Description: mir-3478 microRNA precursor family
Rfam family: mir-3478 microRNA precursor family
Source: Rfam by way of RNAcentral